This 730-nucleotide ribosomal RNA is filed under the name Pseudoalteromonas sp. UCH-51. RNAcentral's name for it is "bacterial SSU rRNA". It matches the Rfam family "Bacterial small subunit ribosomal RNA", at positions 52 to 778 of the family's 1533-position model. The record is from RNAcentral. Lineage: Bacteria; Pseudomonadati; Pseudomonadota; Gammaproteobacteria; Alteromonadales; Pseudoalteromonadaceae.
CACAUGCAAGUCGAGCGGUAACAGAAAGUAGCUUGCUACUUUGCUGACGAGCGGCGGACGGGUGAGUAAUGCUUGGGAACAUGCCUUGAGGUGGGGGACAACAGUUGGAAACGACUGCUAAUACCGCAUAAUGUCUACGGACCAAAGGGGGCUUCGGCUCUCGCCUUUAGAUUGGCCCAAGUGGGAUUAGCUAGUUGGUGAGGUAAUGGCUCACCAAGGCAACGAUCCCUAGCUGGUUUGAGAGGAUGAUCAGCCACACUGGGACUGAGACACGGCCCAGACUCCUACGGGAGGCAGCAGUGGGGAAUAUUGCACAAUGGGCGCAAGCCUGAUGCAGCCAUGCCGCGUGUGUGAAGAAGGCCUUCGGGUUGUAAAGCACUUUCAGUCAGGAGGAAAGGUUAGUAGUUAAUACCUGCUAGCUGUGACGUUACUGACAGAAGAAGCACCGGCUAACUCCGUGCCAGCAGCCGCGGUAAUACGGAGGGUGCGAGCGUUAAUCGGAAUUACUGGGCGUAAAGCGUACGCAGGCGGUUUGUUAAGCGAGAUGUGAAAGCCCCGGGCUCAACCUGGGAACUGCAUUUCGAACUGGCAAACUAGAGUGUGAUAGAGGUGGUAGAAUUUCAGGUGUAGCGGUGAAAUGCGUAGAGAUCUGAAGGAAUACCGAUGGCGAAGGCAGCCACCUGGGUCAACACUGACGCUCAUGUACGAAAGCGUGGGGAGCAAACAGGAU